GACCUCGGAUCAGGUAGGGAUACCCGCUGAACUUAA
Molecule: ribosomal RNA, 36 nt
Filed under: Aspergillus flavus
Lineage: Eukaryota; Fungi; Ascomycota; Eurotiomycetes; Eurotiales; Aspergillaceae
Also listed under: 98 other names
Description: partial 28S ribosomal RNA
Source: RNAcentral